CCUACGGGGGGCUGCAGUGGGGAAUAUUGGACAAUGGGGGCAACCCUGAUCCAGCCAUGCCGCGUGUGUGAAGAAGGCCCUCGGGUUGUAAAGCACUUUCAGUGAGGAAGAACGCCUGGUGGUUAAUACCCAUCAGGAAAGACAUCACUCACAGAAGAAGCACCGGCUAACUCCGUGCCAGCAGCCGCGGUAAUACGGAGGGUGCGAGCGUUAAUCGGAAUUACUGGGCGCAAAGCGCGCGUAGGUGGCUUGAUAAGCCGGUUGUGAAAGCCCCGGGCUCAACCUGGGAACGGCAUCCGGAACUGUCAAGCUAGAGUGCAGGAGAGGAAGGUAGAAUUCCCGGUGUAGCGGUGAAAUGCGUAGAGAUCGGGAGGAAUACCAGUGGCGAAGGCGGCCUUCUGGGCUGACACUGACUCUGAGGUGCGAAAGCGUGGGUAGCAAACAGGAUUAGAUACCCUGGUAGUC
RNAcentral lists this ribosomal RNA (465 nucleotides) under Vreelandella stevensii. Its description in RNAcentral is "partial 16S ribosomal RNA". It matches the Rfam family "Bacterial small subunit ribosomal RNA", at positions 338 to 795 of the family's 1533-position model. Lineage: Bacteria; Pseudomonadati; Pseudomonadota; Gammaproteobacteria; Oceanospirillales; Halomonadaceae. The record is from RNAcentral.